UUGCUCACUUUAGCAGCACAUGUACUAAAACUGAAACAGUAGAGAAGAUUAGCACAGUCCCUCAGCAAGGAUGACACGUAAAUUUGUGAAACAUUCCAUAUAUAU
Prolemur simus (greater bamboo lemur) is the source of this 105-nucleotide small nuclear RNA. Lineage: Eukaryota; Metazoa; Chordata; Mammalia; Primates; Lemuridae. The record is from Ensembl.